GGCUCUGAAGGAAGGACAGCGAGGGUCAAGGUGACCAGUGAGGCCUGGACAACUAGGAUGCCAACCUGAGGGAGCCACCCCCAUCCUGGGCUAAGUUUGACAUCUGAUGGAAGAGCCUCCAGCUCCAGCCAGCUGUCAGGACUUGAGAUCAGACUUUCUCCCCCUCUUCCAGCCCCAGUGCCCCACUUUCCUGGGGAUACUCUGUGUGCAGCUCCAAGGAACCUGGUUACAGUACAGAUCACAGACAUGCAAGAGAUGCUGCCCAGGAGCCAGGCACUGGCCUCCAGAGGACCCCACCCCACUUGGGAAGCAGGUUCUGCGUGACAGCUUUUCCUCCUGGACCUGAGUUCUGUGGAGUCUACCACCCUUCUCCACCCAAAGCCUGUAUUUUCAGCAGUAGAGCGGGAGCGUGUGGAUGUGGAAGCCAGGCUGCCUGUGUUUGAAUUACAGCUGAGCUCUGCUGUUUAGCUAAACCUGUUAGCUCAUCUAUAAUACGGAAAUGAUGUGAAAGUUG
Long non-coding RNA from Cervus elaphus (red deer), 514 nucleotides. RefSeq lists it as uncharacterized. The record is from RefSeq and is a predicted model, not a curated record. The transcript is spliced from 2 exons. Lineage: Eukaryota; Metazoa; Chordata; Mammalia; Artiodactyla; Cervidae.